AUUGAACGCUGGCGGCAUGCUUUACACAUGCAAGUCGAACGGUAACAGGUUAAGCUGACGAGUGGCGAACGGGUGAGUAAUGCAUCGGAACGUGCCCGACCGUGGGGGAUAACGCAGCGAAAGCUGCGCAAUACCGCAUACGAUCUGAGGAUGAAAGCGGGGGACCGUAAGGCCUCGCGCGAUCGGAGCGGCCGAUGUCAGAUUAGGUAGUUGGUGGGGUAAAGGCUCACCAAGCCGACGAUCUGUAGCUGUACUGAGAGGACGACCAGCCACACUGGAACUGAGACACGGCCCAGACUCCUACAGGAGGCAGCAGUGGGGAAUUUUAGACGAUGGGCGAAAGCCUGAUCAAGCAGUGCCGCGUGCAGGAAGAAGGCCUUCGGGUUGUAAACUGCUUUUGUACGGAGCGAAAAGGCUCUCUCUAAUACAGGGGGCUAAUGACGGUACCGUAAGAAUAAGCACCGGCUAACUACGUGCCAGCCGCCGCCGUAA
RNAcentral lists this ribosomal RNA (492 nucleotides) under uncultured bacterium. Its description in RNAcentral is "partial 16S ribosomal RNA". It matches the Rfam family "Bacterial small subunit ribosomal RNA", at positions 29 to 523 of the family's 1533-position model. The record is from RNAcentral.